GACUACUGGGGUAUCUAAUCCCGUUCGCUACCCUAGCUUUCGUGCUUCAGCGUCAGAAAAGACCCAGUGAGCCGCUUUCGCAACUGGUGUUCCUUGCGAUAUCAACGCAUUUCACCGCUCCACCGCAAGUUCCGCUCACCUCUAUCUCCCUCGAGCCAAGCAGUUUUGAGCGCAGUUCCUCGGUUGAGCCGAGGGCUUUCACACCCAACUUGCAAGGCCGCCUACGCACCCUUUAAGCCCAGUCAUUCCGAAUAACGUUUGGACGGUUCGUCUUACCGCGGCUGCUGGCACGAACUUAGCCCGUCCUUCCUCCGAGGAUAGGUCAACCAUGAAGGAGAACCCCCAUGGACUUCCUCCCCUCCGACAGCGGUUUACAACCCGAGGGCCUUCAUCCCGCACGCGGCGUCGCUCGGUCGGGCUUGCGCCCAUUGCCGAAGAUUCUCGACUGCAGCCCCCCGUAGG
Molecule: ribosomal RNA, 462 nt
Filed under: uncultured Planctomycetaceae bacterium
Lineage: Bacteria; Pseudomonadati; Planctomycetota; Planctomycetia; Planctomycetales; Planctomycetaceae
Description: partial 16S ribosomal RNA
Source: RNAcentral